AAUAGUACGUGCUCCGAAGCUGGAUUACCUAAAGCAGAGGCUAUGGUGACCAGACUAGUGUCUUAAGACACUCGGGUAUUACGGGAAACUGUGAUAUCUCCUGCUGGAAAGGAGUCUGUCGACAGGUGGA
Molecule: non-coding RNA, 130 nt
Filed under: Desulfosporosinus lacus
Lineage: Bacteria; Bacillati; Bacillota; Clostridia; Eubacteriales; Desulfitobacteriaceae
Description: MoCo sequence
Rfam family: Molybdenum/Tungsten riboswitch aptamer (Moco RNA motif)
Source: RNAcentral